Molecule: ribosomal RNA, 496 nt
Filed under: uncultured bacterium
Lineage: Bacteria
Description: partial 16S ribosomal RNA
Rfam family: Bacterial small subunit ribosomal RNA
Source: RNAcentral
AUGCACGCUGGCGGCGUGCCUAAUACAUGCAAGUCGAGCGAACGGACGAGAAGCUUGCUUCUCUGAUGUUAGCGGCGGACGGGUGAGUAACACGUGGAUAACCUACCUAUAAGACUGGGAUAACUUCGGGAAACCGUAGCUAAUACCGGAUAAUAUUUUGAACCGCAUGGUUCAAAAGUGAAAGACGGUCUUGCUGUCACUUAUAGAUGGAUCCGCGCUGCAUUAGCUAGUUGGUAAGGUAACGGCUUACCAAGGCAACGAUGCAUAGCCGACCUGAGAGGGUGAUCGACCACACUGGAACUGAGACACGGUCCAGACUCCUACGGGAGGCAGCAGUAGGGAAUCUUCCGCAAUGGGCGAAAGCCUGACGGAGCAACGCCGCGUGAGUGAUGAAGGUCUUCGGAUCGUAAAACUCUGUUAUUAGGGAAGAACAUAUGUGUAAGUAACUGUGCACAUCUUGACGGUACCUAAUCAGAAAGCCACGGCUAACUACGUG